UACGUAGGGUGCGAGCGUUAAUCGGAAUUACUGGGCGUAAAGCGCGUGUAGGCGGCCCGGUAAGUCCGCUGUGAAAGUCGGGGGCUCAACCCUCGGAUGCCGGUGGAUACUGUCGGGCUAGAGUGCGGGAGAGGCGAGUGGAAUUCCUGGUGUAGCGGUGAAAUGCGCAGAUAUCAGGAGGAACACCAAUUGCGAAGGCAGCUCGCUGGAACGUAACUGACGCUGAGACGCGAAAGCGUGGGGAGCAAACAGG
Molecule: ribosomal RNA, 253 nt
Filed under: uncultured bacterium
Lineage: Bacteria
Description: partial 16S ribosomal RNA
Rfam family: Bacterial small subunit ribosomal RNA
Source: RNAcentral